This 282-nucleotide unclassified non-coding RNA is filed under the name Spiroplasma endosymbiont of Scathophaga soror. RNAcentral's name for it is "partial contains 16S ribosomal RNA, 16S-23S ribosomal RNA intergenic spacer, and 23S ribosomal RNA". The stretch from base 1 to 70 matches the Rfam family "Bacterial small subunit ribosomal RNA", at positions 1464 to 1533 of the family's 1533-position model. Lineage: Bacteria; Bacillati; Mycoplasmatota; Mollicutes; Entomoplasmatales; Spiroplasmataceae. The record is from RNAcentral.
UAGAUUGAUGAUUAGGGUGAAGUCGUAACAAGGUAUCCGUACGAGAACGUGCGGAUGGAUCACCUCCUUUCUAUGGAGUUAAUACUUUAUAGUAAUUAACUAGUUUUAAUGACCGUUAUGUUUAGUUUUCAGAGAUUAGUUUCUCUGACAAUAGCAAAUAAAUGUUAUUGAAAUUGUUCUUUGAAAACUGGAUAAUAAACAUCUAGUUAUUUUAAUCACUUGAUUAAAAUAACAAUAAUUCAAAAUUUCUGUUAUUUUUAAAAAAUAACUAAAAUUUCACAG